UACAGAGGCCUCAAGCGUUAGGCGGAAUCACUGGGCUUAAAGCGUGUGUAGGCGGGUCGUUAAGUGCCUUGUGAAAUCCCACGGCUUAACCGUGGAACUGCUUGGUAUACUGGUUCUCUUGGGCCAUCUAGGGGCUACUGGAACAAACGGUGGAGCGGUGAAAUGCGUAGAUAUCGUUUGGAACGCCAAUGGUGAAAACAAGUAGCUGGGGAUGUGCCGACGCUGAGACACGAAAGCCAGGGGAGCGAACGGG
Molecule: ribosomal RNA, 253 nt
Filed under: uncultured bacterium
Lineage: Bacteria
Description: partial 16S ribosomal RNA
Rfam family: Bacterial small subunit ribosomal RNA
Source: RNAcentral